RNAcentral lists this ribosomal RNA (484 nucleotides) under uncultured bacterium. RNAcentral describes it as "partial 16S ribosomal RNA". It matches the Rfam family "Bacterial small subunit ribosomal RNA", at positions 30 to 507 of the family's 1533-position model. The record is from RNAcentral.
AUUGAACGCUGGCGGCAGGCCUAACACAUGCAAGUCGAGCGGAUGAAGGGAGCUUGCUCCUGGAUUCAGCGGCGGACGGGUGAGUAAUGCCUAUGAAUCUGCCUGGUAGUGGGGGAUAACGUCCGGAAACGGGCGCUAAUACCGCAUACGUCUUGAGGGAGAAAGUGGGGGCUCUUCGGACCUCACUCUAUCAGAUGAUCCUAGGUCGGAUUAGCUAGUUGGUGGGGUAAAGGCCUACCAAGGCGACGAUCCGUAACUGGUCUGAGAGGAUGAUCAGUCACACUGGAACUGAGACACGGUCCAGACUCCUACGGGAGGCAGCAGUGGGGAAUAUUGGACAAUGGGCGAAAGCCUGAUCCAGCCAUGCCGCGUGUGUGAAGAAGGUCUUCGGAUUGUAAAGCACUUUAAGUUGGGAGGAAGGGCAGUAAGUUAAUACCUUGCUGUUUUGACGUUACCAACAGAAUAAGCACCGGCUAACUUCGUG